GCAACCACCUGAUGCUUCAUAUUCAGGGUUUGAGGCAAAACCACAGUUGUAAUUUAGUUAAUGAUCUUCACUGUAGGCUCCAAUGGAUGCAACACAGCACGUUUUAAAUUCAUGAACCAUGUUCUGGUUAGUUGUUAGCAACUCAGAAAAUGUGUGUUUGUCUCCAUGGGAAGGAAGAUGGAUGUGUGAAGAGUCACCAAAGUUCUAGGGAGAAACUGAGCAAGACUGAUUAGCUCCACCUCAGCAUGACACCUGAGCUACACUUUGAGAUCAAGUUUCACUCGGCUGAAAUCACACACGAUUCCCUGUGACUUUCAUGAGAAAUACUGUAAGAAAGUAUUAAAAAAG
This is a long non-coding RNA of Pelodiscus sinensis (Chinese soft-shelled turtle), 348 nucleotides long. RefSeq lists it as uncharacterized. Lineage: Eukaryota; Metazoa; Chordata; Testudines; Trionychidae. The record is from RefSeq and is a predicted model, not a curated record.